UCAAAAGUUGUACAAUUUCAAAUUCACUCAAAAACAUCCAUUAAUAUAUUUUAAUCAUAUCAAUUACAAAUUGGAAACCCUAAUUUCUAAUUACAAUCAAAUAGCAAUCAAAUCCUAAAACUCCUAAUACAAAUCAAUCAAAUAUCAAUCAGGUUACAAAUUUCCAAUACAUCAAUCUAAUUAAAAUCAAAACCCUAAAACUAAUCUAUAAAUAACCUAAAUAAAAAUCAGAAUGAGGAAGAAAAAAUUUAGAACCCUAAGCACAUUAUUGCCUCUGCAAAACCCUAAAACAGAAUGUUGUACUUGAUUGUGGGUUUUUUUAUUGUGGUAGUUGUUCAGGGUUUGAUUUUAGGGGAAAGGUUAGGGUAUACUAAAAAGGGGUUUAGGGUUAGGGUUGUAAUUUUUUUAUUUGAUUUUGAGAAUUUGGAGGUUUAAUUAAGGUACAGGGAAGGUCGGUUUAUGGAUCUGCCAAGGUUUUGUGUGGAUCUGAGUGGAAGAAGGUGAGAUUUGGGCAGAGGUUAGGGUUUGGUGGAGGUAGAAGAUGAAUAUUCAUCUUCUUAUGGUUAAGGUUCCUCACAAAGUUGUUAGGGUUCAUCUGAACCCAACUAGGGUUCAUCAUCCAGGGUUAGGUUUUAAAGGGUUUUGGGUUAGGGUUCUUGAAAUGUGCAGGGAUCUGGAAAUUCCAAAUGAAGGUUUGAAGUUUCUAGUUGAACUUCAAUCGAAAAUUGGGGUUUAGUGGUGGUUUUAGGGGCGGUUGUGGGUUGAGGGUGGUGGUCGAAGGAAGGCUCAUAGAAGAAGAAAGAAGAGAGAGCGAGAGGGAAUAGAGAGAAGGAGAGUGAGGAAAUGAAAUGGAAAACGGGGGGAAAUGGAUUAUAUACACCCCAUGGAUGGUGCUUGGUGAGAGACACAUGGGUCUCUCUCAGCCAAUGAAAUUGCAUAGUCUGACCAAUCUUAGUAUACAUGCGUCCAUCAUAUGUCGUGUUGACUCUAAAUAUCAACCUUUCAUUGUGUUUACCUUGACCAGUAUACCAAACUAGUGGUUGUGAUAUGAACUACCUUGAUCCCUUAGAUUGCUAUCAGACGCCCUAGAGAGAGUCAAUUGUUGACUCUCUCUCAUGGACCCUCCCUCCAGCGUGAGCCUCCAAAAGAAAAUGGGCCUAGGCCCUAUUGCUUUUCACAAACCCCUCUCAAAAGGCCAAUUGCUAUUUCAAUACGAAAUACAACCCCAUGUCCUUUUUAUUUAAUUUAUCUCAUUUAACUUAUUUUCUUAAUAAAUAGUUUUGUUAAUUUAUUUCUAUAAUUAGCAAUUAAUCAAUAAUUAAUUAAAUUAGCUAAUAACUAAUUUUAAUAAUUAAGGGUUUAUUUUAUUUCUAAUCAAUAAAUAAAAAAUAAAAAAAUAUAUAUAUGUUUUAUAAUUAGGGUUUAUUAGGAUAAUUCUGUGAUUAAUCUUCAGGUUUGCAUUUAGACGUCAUUAGGGUUAAUUAGGGGUUUAAUCAGGAUGAUGUUAAUAUUUCUUUUGUUAAUAAAUUAUAUGUAAUAUCUUAAUAAAUAUAUAGCAUUUGACUUAAUUUAUAAUUAACGUAUUUGUAAUAUUUUUGCAAUUAACAAACUAACUAAAAUCAACUCGACACAUUCAAAUUCUAAGUCAUCUGCCCUUGUGCGUUGAGGAAUUUUCAAAUUAAACACUUUCUUUGCCCCCGAUUCGUUGAGAUUCUUUUAAAGAUCUAAAAUCAAACAAACAAACAAACAUUUUUAGAAGAACUAUGUUGCUUUGAUCCUUCAUCUAACAUGAAGGUACGUAGGCACAAAGUCGUAGCACUCUAGCGAAUAUGAUAACCAAAAACUUUUUCUUUGUCUUUAUGUAAUAAUAAAUUUUUUCUAUGAAUAAUAACUUAAGCCUUUGUAAAUAAAUAACAUAAGCAAACUUUCCUUAGAAACACACAUUAACUCUAGAAUUAAAGGAGGAUCCCAUUGAGUACAAUGGAAGUGAGGGGUGCCUAACACCUUCCUCUUGCUUAACCGACUCCCGAACCUUAGUCUCUCCCUUUAACUAUAUGUUUUAUCAUUAUUUCCCUAUUCCUAAAGAACAAAUAAAAUAUGAUGGUGACUCUGUGAUUUUCCAACCGGGACAACUAGCGACUUUGCUAGGGAGUCCUACUUCCCUAAAGAGAGUUUAUCCUAACCUCUAGCUAUAGGGUUUCGUGUGUUUUCUUUCUCUAUUUUAUUUAUUUAUUUUCUUCUCUAUUAUUUAUUUUAUUUUCCUUUCCAUAUGUUAUGCCUUUAUUAUUAUUUUAAAUUUAUUAUUUAUACUAUCACGUCAUUGGAUGGGAAAGUUACUAUGUGAGAAACUAAAACCCAAGCUUGGAGAAAAAACCUAAGUUAAGAAGUAGAACUGAAAUGUUUUCUAUGAGGUGCCACAUCUCAAAGAUACAUGGAAGUUACACUCAUAAUAAACCCCCCGAAUAUAUCCUCAUAGUAGGGAUAGCCCCUAAUAUGUUAAUGAUUUGGAAGUGGUCCAUGACUUUGAGAACCAUUUUCUAGAACCUAUUCUAUUCAUGGUGACCUUAUGUUAUCAACCCCCAAGGGUUGUUACUAGGGUUCUGCCCAGAUGAGACUAAUCCUGAAGGAUUACCAUAGGAGGGCCUACUCCUUCUCAUGGUAAAAUAAGGGUAUGGUCCAUGUCUUUAGGGCCACUAUCUUGAUCUUUAUAUCUCACAAGUGAGGGGAUUAGGUAUUCUAAACGUAGAGCUAGCCUAUCAUAAGAAGACUCCCUAAACUAGGUCAUGCUUGCAUAUUACCCUUAUCCUUAAAAAAACGGGAAAACAAAUCAUAUCAUCAUUCCCAUCAAAAUCAUUUUUUUCAUUCAAUCAUUUCAGGAAUCUUAAUCAUCAUCCAAGCACCCUAAGUAUAAUAGAAUUUGGUAAAAGGAAGCCCCUUCAGUUCAAGAUAAGGGAAUCUAAGACAGAUAACCUAUGGAACUAUGCCAUGAGCUUGAGCAAAGGUACGAAGAACUCUCUGAAUUACAAAUAUGGAAAAGUCUUGGACCUCUUGAGUGUCCCUGUGUAAAAGGAGACCUUAACUGCCCUAGCAUAAUUCUUUGACCCUACAUUUAGGUGUUUCCAGUUUCAAUAUUUUUAAUUGGCUCCGACUCUUGAAGAGUUUCUCAAGAUCCUAUAGACUUCUAAACCCAAAAAGGCUCCAUUCAAAAUGAUAGGGUAUCUCCAUACAGUGGAAGAAAUGGCUUAUCACCUUAGCAUCCAUGGAGCUGACUUGCAAGCCAACUUAAGGGUUUGUGGAGACUUCAAGGGCUUCCCGAGAGAGUAUCUAGAGAAAAGGUUCGAUGACUUUGUAACUUCCCUACAGUGGGAUGCCUUGGACAUAUCAUGAUCCUCCUUGCCUUCGAAAUAAUACAUGUUCCCACGGAAAAGGACUUCAUGGAUUAUACAGCCAUCAAUUUGUUUUUUGUCGUAAAAGUUGGGGAUGAAGAUCAUGUACCUGCUCUCCUUGUUGAUGUUUACCAUAACCUCUAUUAUAAGUUUUCCAUCAUUCUCUUUUACAAAUGGAGUCUUAUCAAUUCCAUCCUUUCUAUAUCCAUGGUUGAUGAGAAACUCAGUCAAACUUUCAUACCAAGCUCUUGGAGCUUAUUUGAAACCAUAUAAUGCCUUCUUUAGUUUGAACACAUGAUUUAGGAAAGUAGGAUCAACAAAUCCUUUUGGUUGUUCAACAUACACUUCUUCAUUUAAAUAUCCAUUUAAAAAGUCACUUUUAACAUACAUUUGGAACAAGUUGAACUUUAAAAGACAUGCCAGUCCAAGUAGCAAUCUGAUAGAUUCUAGGCAAGUCAUAUGAGCAAAUGUUCCAUCAAAGUCCCAUCCUUCAAUUUGAGUGUAUCAUUGAGAAAAAAGCAUGGCUUUGUUUCUGGAAACAACACCGUGUUCAUCUAACUUGUUCUUAUACAUCCAUUUAGUACCAAUAACAUUUGUCCCUUCAAGUCUUGGUACCAAAUCCCAAACAUCAUUUCUUUUGAAUUGACCAAGUUCAUCUUGCAUAGCAUUAAUCCAUAACUCAUCAGUGAAGGCCUCCUUGAUAUUAUUGGGUUCAAAUUUUGAAACAUAACAGGCAUUUGACACAACUUCCCUUGAUUUGGUACUUAUCCCUUCAUUCAGAUUUCCUAUUAUAAGCUCCUUAUGAUGAUCUUUCUGAAUUCUAAUGGGAGGUCCUUUGUUAGCUGACCCAGUCUCUGUAGGUUUAGUAUUACCACUUGAGUCCGUAACAUCUUUAGGAACAUCAUUCAUAGAUGUCUCAACAUCAUAUGUGACAUCAGCUUUUGUAGUUGAUUCAUCAACAACAAUAUUUAUGGAUUCCAUUAUCACCUUAGUUCUAGAGUUGAAUACUUUAUAUGAUCUACUGUUUGUAGAGUAUCCCAGAAAAAUUCCCUCCUCACUUUUAGGAUCCAUUUUCCUCCUCUUCUCACGAUCUGCCAAAAUAUAAAAUUUACACCAAAAUACAUGGAAAUACUUCACACUUGGCUUUCUUCCUUUCCACAAUUCAUAAAGUGUAGCAGAUGUACCAGAUUUGAUAGUCACUAUAUUAUGGAUAUAGAAUGCAGUGUUCAUGGCUUCUUCCCAAAAUGAUAUGGUAGUUUCUUAGCAUGAAGCAUGACCCUGGCACAUUCUUGAAUAGUCAUACUCUUGCGUUUAACCACACCAUUCUGUUGAGGGGUGAUGGGUGAAGAAAACUCAUGACUAAUCCCUUCAGAAGGGCAGAAUUCAUUAAACUUGCUAUUUUCAAAGUCCUUUCCAUGGUCACUUCUAAUUCUGACAAUACCAUAAUCCUUCUCUAUUUGAAUCUUUUGACAAAGUUCUUUAAAUACUUCUAAUACUUCAGACUUCUCUUUGAUGAAAUUCACCCAGGUGAACCUUGAGAAGUCAUCAACAACAACAUAGGCAUACAUCUUUCCUUCAAGACUUUCAACCUGCAUAGGUCCCAUCAAGUCCAUAUGAAGUAGCUCCAGAAUUUUUGAAGUGGUCAGAUGUUGGAGCUUCUUAUGUGACAUCUUUGUUUGCUUCCCAAUUUGACAUUCACCACAGAUUCUUCCUUCAUCAAUUUUUCAGUUUGGGAAUACCUCUAACUACUUCCUUUAACAAAACUUUCUUCAUACCUUUCUGAUGUAAGUGACCAAGCUUUUGAUGUCAUAGCUUAGAUUUAUCUUCUUUUGACAUCAAGCAUGUGGAGAAAUAAUUUGUUUCUUGAGGAGUCCACAUAUAGCAGUUAUCUUUUGAUAUGGCUCCCUUCAUGAUAACUUCAUUCUUCUCAUUUGUUACUAGGCAUUCAGAUUUAGUAAAUUUAACUUUGAAACCUUGGUCACAAAGUUGACUAAUACUUAUGAAAUUAGCAUUCAUCCCUUUAACAAACAGAACAUCAUCAAGACUAGGCAGUCCAGCUUUCCAACACCCUUUAUUUCACCUUUUGAUCCAUCUCCAAAAGUGACAUAGCUAGUGGAAUAUGAUUUAAUAUCCACCAAGAAUUUCUUGACACCAGUCAUGUGUCUAGAACAAGCACUAUCAAAAUACCAAUCCUCUCUAGCAGAGGCUCUAAGGGAGGUGUGAGCUAUGAGUCCAGAAUUGCCAUUUCUGGGAAUCCACUUUUUCUUUACUUUAACAAUAGUAUAUUUUCUUCUGGAUUGUGAAACAGGUUUGGGAUAGCCAUAUAGUUUAUAACAGUAUGGUUUUAUGUGACCAAACCUUCCACAAUGAUGACAUGUCCAUUGUUGGGUCUUGCUUUCUGAGUAAUCAUCUUGAUGUCUUUGCUGAUGUUGGGACAUAUUUGGCAUCUUUUGUUCCUGUUUUAUUUUAGGAUGAACAAAAUUCAUUGCAGGUCAUUUUCCUUUGUUUAUCACAACUUGACUAUCAUAACCAAGACCUUUAACAUUUCCAGCAUUCUUACCAGUUUGAAGAAUCUCAUCCAACACCAUCAGAACUACUGUUAAGCUUUCUUACAGACUUAGUCAUAUUGUCAAGUUUUGAAUUGAGCAAUACAACUCCAUCCUUCAUAUUAGAGAUGAUAGACGGAUGCUCCACUUUUUCAGCCUAUAGUUGAGCAAUGACAUUCUUUUGAUCUUCUCCUAGUUUACACACUUCUUCACUUCUGAGGCACAAUUCCUUGUAUGACUCAGCAAGUUCCUCAAACAUGAGUUCUUCGCAAUUUGAUUCUUCAUUAGAAUCACAAAUUCCAGUCAAGGCAGUAACCUAUUUGGCAGAUUCCACUUCAGGAUCAUUUUCAGAAUCAUCUUCUGACCAUGACACAGACAGGCCCUUCUUCAGCUUCUUGAGAUAAGUGGGACACUCAGCUCUUAUGUGUCCAAACCCUUCACAUCCAUGACAUUAGAUUCCUUUUCCUUGGUUAGACUUUUCUUCAGUUUUGGGCCUUCUCCCAAAAUCCUGAUUUUUGUUGAUGUCUAAUGACUUGUUCAUGACAUUUGAUCUUGUCUUCCAGUCCAUCUUCUUCAUCACUUUGUUAAAUCGUCUUCCAGGUAACACAGUAGCAUUAGAUAUCCCUUCAUCUGUAUCCAGGUCACAUUCAUCUUCUAAGUCUUCAACAUUAGAAACAAAGGUUAUGCUUUUCUUCUUUUCAGAUUUUUCACUUAUCCCUAAUUCAAAGGUCUGAAGAGAUCCCAUAAGUUCAUCAACUUUCAAGAUGUUUAUAUCUUGGGAAUCUUCAAUGGCAGUUACCUUCAUGUCAAAUCUCUUUGGAAGAGAUCUGAGAAUUUUUCUGACCAACUUAGCUUCUGACAUCAUCUCCCCCGGGGCACUUGAGGCAUUUGUUAUCUCAACAAUAUUCAUGUGAAAGUCAUGAAUGUUCUCAUCCUUCUUCAUUAUUAAGUUCUCAAACUUGGUGGUAAGAAGUUGAAGUCUUCACAUCUUCACCUUAGAGGUUCCUUCAUGAGCAGUCUUCAAGUUCUCCCAAGCAUCUUUAAUAAUAGUACAAUUAUUUAUUAGUCUAAAGAUGUUCUUGUCCACUCCAUUGAGCAGAGCAUUCAAUGCUUUGGAGUUUCCCUGAGCUAAUUUAUCAUCUUCAUCAUCCUAGUCUUACUCAACCUUCAGCACAUCAGUAAUCUUACCAUCUUUAUCUCUAGCCAUUGGUGGAUCCCAUCCCUUGACCAUAUAAUUCCAAUCCUUGUUGUCCAUGGAUUUAAUAAAGGUCAUCAUACGAGCUUUCCAGUAGUCAUAGUUGGUUCCAUCAAGAAUGAGUGAUCUGUUCACAAAUCCUCCUUCCUUGUCCAUUGUACCAGAAAGUAUCUUCCCUGAAUCUCACCCAGAUACAGAGCAGGAUGCCUGCUCUGGUACCAAUUGAAAUUUUGGUAUGCAGAUAUCAGAUGUCCUAAGAGAUGUCAAGACACUGAUAUCUGACCAAAACACAAUGACAAUAUAACAUACAGUUAAGAGUACUGAAAGUAAUAGAACACACAUAGUUGUUAACCCAGUUUGGUGUACAACACCACCUACAUCUUAGGGAUACCAAGCCAGGGAGGAAAUCCACUAAAUAGUAUCAGUUUGUAGACCUUCAACAAACUAUCUCCAGUUUACAAUCUACUCCCUAAUCACUACCCGUACUUAAAUGAUACCCAUCUCACUUCUCUUUCAAUUACAACAGUGAUGAAACAAUACUAUUUUGAAAGUUUCAGAAGUUACACUUCAAAGACACACAAUCACUCAAUGCUUAAAAUCUUAAGAGUGAUUGACAGAACUUACAACUUAAUAGAGACAGUCUUACUCUUAUACCAUGAUGAUAUUAGAGAGGCAAACAAUUAACAUGAACAUACAAAUAGUGAAACAAUAUUUGAUAUGUGCUCCAAUUAGGUUUGUGGCAUUCUAUUUAUAACCAUAGUAUGUACUGGAUUUGGGCUUCAAAAUCGCAUCAAGGCAGUUGCUAAAAGUUUGCAGAAUAUUCUACAUAAAAUUAGGUCUUCAAUCAAGGGUUUUGUAAAAUGUCUCAACAUUUAGAAAAACAGAAUAACUUAAAUAGAAACAGAACCUUUGAUUCCUCAAUCUUGGAUGCCAUAUAGGAUUACUUAAUAUUCCCAGAAUAUUCAGUAACCUGUUAAUCAAACGAACUGUUACCAAGAUGUAAACAUGUAACAGAUAAGAUGUCGGAUUCAUAUGUUAGGACAUCUUGUUCAAAAUGUUGCUGCUAAGUUAGUUUUACCAAAAUUACCUCCAAUCACACAUAUAGAGAAUUAACAGUUAGAACACUAGGUGAUAUGGAUGUUCAUGAAUGUAGAUGAACCUCAAACCAAAAUUUAGAUAAAAAUGAAAGAGGAGGCAACUUUUAGGGUAUGGCACAUGGCUAUAGAACUUCAGCUCGCACUUCGAUAGGAGCAACUCCUUUUUCUCUGGUAUAUGGCACCUAAUGGGUACAACCUAUUGAAGUCGAGAUCCCCUCUUUGAGAGUCCUGAUGGAAACUAAAUUGGAAGAGGCGGAAUGGGUACAGACAAGAUUCGAUCAAUUGAACCUCAUAGAAGAGAAGGGCAUGUGUUACGCCGUGAAAAAUACAGAGUCACCACCGGAAUUUAUUUAUUCCAAAGGAAAGGGAAAAUAGUGAUAAAACCCCAAAGAGAAUGGUCUUCACAACCAGGAGCGGAUUCAGAAGUCGGUUAUGCAAGGGGAAGGUAUUAGCACCCCUCACAUCCAUGGUACUCCAUGGAAACCACUAGCUUGUAUCAAUGCAUAUGGAUGUUGUUUAUUUGAAUGUUUCUUGCUAUCGGGAAAUGAGAUGAGAAUAAAAUA
Molecule: long non-coding RNA, 8787 nt
Filed under: Lathyrus oleraceus (garden pea)
Lineage: Eukaryota; Viridiplantae; Streptophyta; Magnoliopsida; Fabales; Fabaceae
Description: Pisum sativum (pea) long non-coding RNA (PSAT_LNC021410)
Source: RNAcentral